AGCGUACACGGUGGAUGCCCUGGCAGUCAGAGGCGAUGAAGGACGUGCUAAUCUGCGAUAAGCGUCGGUAAGGUGAUAUGAACCGUUAUAACCGGCGAUUUCCGAAUGGGGAAACCCAGUGUGAUUCGUCACACUAUCAUUAACUGAAUCCAUAGGUUAAUGAGGCGAACCGGGGGAACUGAAACAUCUAAGUACCCCGAGGAAAAGAAAUCAACCGAGAUUCCCCCAGUAGCGGCGAGCGAACGGGGAGCAGCCCAGAGCCUGAAUCAGUGUGUGUGUUAGUGGAAGCGUCUGGAAAGGCGCGCGAUACAGGGUGACAGCCCCGUACACAAAAAUGCACAUACUGUGAGCUCGAUGAGUAGGGCGGGACACGUGGUAUCCUGUCUGAAUAUGGGGGGACCAUCCUCCAAGGCUAAAUACUCCUGACUGACCGAUAGUGAACCAGUACCGUGAGGGAAAGGCGAAAAGAACCCCGGCGAGGGGAGUGAAAAAGAACCUGAAACCGUGUACGUACAAGCAGUGGGAGCACGCUUAGGCGUGUGACUGCGUACCUUUUGUAUAAUGGGUCAGCGACUUAUAUUCUGUAGCAAGGUUAACCGAAUAGGGGAGCCGAAGGGAAACCGAGUCUUAACUGGGCGUUAAGUUGCAGGGUAUAGACCCGAAACCCGGUGAUCUAGCCAUGGGCAGGUUGAAGGUUGGGUAACACUAACUGGAGGACCGAACCGACUAAUGUUGAAAAAUUAGCGGAUGACUUGUGGCUGGGGGUGAAAGGCCAAUCAAACCGGGAGAUAGCUGGUUCUCCCCGAAAGCUAUUUAGGUAGCGCCUCGUGAAUUCAUCUCCGGGGGUAGAGCACUGUUUCGGCAAGGGGGUCAUCCCGACUUACCAACCCGAUGCAAACUGCGAAUACCGGAGAAUGUUAUCACGGGAGACACACGGCGGGUGCUAACGUCCGUCGUGAAGAGGGAAACAACCCAGACCGCCAGCUAAGGUCCCAAAGUCAUGGUUAAGUGGGAAACGAUGUGGGAAGGCCCAGACAGCCAGGAUGUUGGCUUAGAAGCAGCCAUCAUUUAAAGAAAGCGUAAUAGCUCACUGGUCGAGUCGGCCUGCGCGGAAGAUGUAACGGGGCUAAACCAUGCACCGAAGCUGCGGCAGCGACGCUGAUGCGUUGUUGGGUAGGGGAGCGUUCUGUAAGCCUGUGAAGGUGUACUGUGAGGUAUGCUGGAGGUAUCAGAAGUGCGAAUGCUGACAUAAGUAACGAUAAAGCGGGUGAAAAGCCCGCUCGCCGGAAGACCAAGGGUUCCUGUCCAACGUUAAUCGGGGCAGGGUGAGUCGACCCCUAAGGCGAGGCCGAAAGGCGUAGUCGAUGGGAAACAGGUUAAUAUUCCUGUACUUGGUGUUACUGCGAAGGGGGGACGGAGAAGGCUAUGUUGGCCGGGCGACGGUUGUCCCGGUUUAAGCGUGUAGGCUGGUUUUCCAGGCAAAUCCGGAAAAUCAAGGCUGAGGCGUGAUGACGAGGCACUACGGUGCUGAAGCAACAAAUGCCCUGCUUCCAGGAAAAGCCUCUAAGCAUCAGGUAACAUCAAAUCGUACCCCAAACCGACACAGGUGGUCAGGUAGAGAAUACCAAGGCGCUUGAGAGAACUCGGGUGAAGGAACUAGGCAAAAUGGUGCCGUAACUUCGGGAGAAGGCACGCUGAUAUGUAGGUGAAGCGACUUGCUCGUGGAGCUGAAAUCAGUCGAAGAUACCAGCUGGCUGCAACUGUUUAUUAAAAACACAGCACUGUGCAAACACGAAAGUGGACGUAUACGGUGUGACGCCUGCCCGGUGCCGGAAGGUUAAUUGAUGGGGUCAGCGCAAGCGAAGCUCUUGAUCGAAGCCCCGGUAAACGGCGGCCGUAACUAUAACGGUCCUAAGGUAGCGAAAUUCCUUGUCGGGUAAGUUCCGACCUGCACGAAUGGCGUAAUGAUGGCCAGGCUGUCUCCACCCGAGACUCAGUGAAAUUGAACUCGCUGUGAAGAUGCAGUGUACCCGCGGCAAGACGGAAAGACCCCGUGAACCUUUACUAUAGCUUGACACUGAACAUUGAGCCUUGAUGUGUAGGAUAGGUGGGAGGCUUUGAAGUGUGGACGCCAGUCUGCAUGGAGCCGACCUUGAAAUACCACCCUUUAAUGUUUGAUGUUCUAACGUUGACCCGUAAUCCGGGUUGCGGACAGUGUCUGGUGGGUAGUUUGACUGGGGCGGUCUCCUCCUAAAGAGUAACGGAGGAGCACGAAGGUUGGCUAAUCCUGGUCGGACAUCAGGAGGUUAGUGCAAUGGCAUAAGCCAGCUUGACUGCGAGCGUGACGGCGCGAGCAGGUGCGAAAGCAGGUCAUAGUGAUCCGGUGGUUCUGAAUGGAAGGGCCAUCGCUCAACGGAUAAAAGGUACUCCGGGGAUAACAGGCUGAUACCGCCCAAGAGUUCAUAUCGACGGCGGUGUUUGGCACCUCGAUGUCGGCUCAUCACAUCCUGGGGCUGAAGUAGGUCCCAAGGGUAUGGCUGUUCGCCAUUUAAAGUGGUACGCGAGCUGGGUUUAGAACGUCGUGAGACAGUUCGGUCCCUAUCUGCCGUGGGCGCUGGAGAACUGAGGGGGGCUGCUCCUAGUACGAGAGGACCGGAGUGGACGCAUCACUGGUGUUCGGGUUGUCAUGCCAAUGGCACUGCCCGGUAGCUAAAUGCGGAAGAGAUAAGUGCUGAAAGCAUCUAAGCACGAAACUUGCCCCGAGAUGAGUUCUCCCUGACUCCUUGA
This 2787-nucleotide ribosomal RNA is filed under the name Escherichia coli. RNAcentral's name for it is "bacterial LSU rRNA". It matches the Rfam family "Bacterial large subunit ribosomal RNA". The record is from RNAcentral. Lineage: Bacteria; Pseudomonadati; Pseudomonadota; Gammaproteobacteria; Enterobacterales; Enterobacteriaceae.